AUUGAACGCUGGCGGCAUGCUUUACACAUGCAAGUCGAACGGUAGGGUAGCAAUACCUGAGAGUGGCGAACGGGUGAGUAAUGCAUCGGAACAUGCCUAUUUGUGGGGGAUAGCCCGGCGAAAGCCGGAUUAAUACCGCAUACGAUCUAAGGAUGAAAGCUGGGGACCGCAAGGCCUAGCGCAAAUAGAGUGGCCGAUGUCAGAUUAGCUAGUUGGUGGGGUAAAGGCCCACCAAGGCAACGAUCUGUAGCUGGUUUGAGAGAACGACCAGCCACACUGGGACUGAGACACGGCCCAGACUCCUACGGGAGGCAGCAGUGGGGAAUUUUGGACAAUGGGCGCAAGCCUGAUCCAGCAAUGCCGCGUGCAGGAUGAAGGUCUUAGGAUCGUAAAGUUCUGUUGUUAGGGACGAAGGGCAAAGGGUUAUAAUACAGCCUUUGUUUGACGGUACCUAACGAGGAAGCCAACGGCUAACUACGUG
RNAcentral lists this ribosomal RNA (481 nucleotides) under uncultured bacterium. RNAcentral's name for it is "bacterial SSU rRNA". It matches the Rfam family "Bacterial small subunit ribosomal RNA", at positions 30 to 507 of the family's 1533-position model. The record is from RNAcentral.